GUUAGAAAAAUAUCCUCUUGAAGGAAAAGGAAAUGGGAGCAACCUAUUGAGGCGUUGACUUUGAAGCUUCAACAGAGUACCAACUACUAAAAGCUAAAAAUCUAAAAAAGGAAAAGAUAAAAAAAAAAGAGUAAAAACAAAAUAAGAAGAAAAAAAGCGUUGACAAAUGUGAAAGAAAAGAGAUCCAACGGCUGAGAUUGUUCAGCGUAAGCUCGGAUCCCAAACGUGUCAUGCACUUAAAAAAUUAACAACUUGAGCUAAACGUCAACGUAAACCUGUACUACUAAUACCUCUACUGCCGUUGUCUGAUUUAUUCACUUAUUUAUUUUCAACAAAUAAUUAUAACUAACAAAAAUAAAAUGAAGGUUGAAUUUGCAACAAAGUUGUUGUUUCUAUUGUUCUUGGUUUCUACCCUUCUUUGUGCUUCUGCUCGUCCCUCUUUCUUCCUCUCAGAAGAACAAGGGGUAGAAGCAAAGCCAAGAAUGUUGAGGACAUUUUUCUUAAAUGAUUAUGAUAAGCCAUCGGCCAACCGUAUGCAUGAUCCGGGCAACCGUAUGGGCGGUCACGGUGGUGGCGGACGACACUAAUUAAAUUUUUGAUUCAUUAAUUUGAUUCCUUUUCAUCUUAAUUAAUUAAUUAAGCCUGUUAAUUUUGUUUUGUUUAUUUGUUUGCUUAAUUAAGUAUGUACGUACGUAUCUCGUUGACUUAAUAAUUGUAAUCUCAUAAUUGUACAUGCAUGACGUGAUGUACCAGUGAGCAGUGACAGUUAUGUUGCAGAGAAUUUAACAAAUUUUAUUUGCAAAUAAUAAUAUACACUGAUCAAACUUAGCUUGCAGCAUGCAUGGAUUUUGCAUUUGAUCAUGUAUUACUAUGUUACUUGUAAGGCUUAUGUAAUAAACAAGAUGGAAUGGAUCCUUUAUUGUCUUAUGCGAGGAAAUAAAAUCGAUUUCGUCCCUUUUAUUGUCUA
This is a long non-coding RNA of Chenopodium quinoa (quinoa), 967 nucleotides long. RefSeq lists it as uncharacterized. The record is from RefSeq and is a predicted model, not a curated record. NCBI's taxonomy places the organism in Eukaryota, Viridiplantae, Streptophyta, Magnoliopsida, Caryophyllales, Amaranthaceae. The transcript has 2 exons.